CUGCUGCCUCCCGUAGGAGUUUGGGCCGUGUCUCAGUCCCAAUGUGGCCGUUCACCCUCUCAGGCCGGCUACUGAUCGUCGCCUUGGUGGGCUGUUACCCCGCCAACAAGCUAAUCAGACGCGGAUCCAUCGUAUACCACCGGGGUUUUUCACACCGUCUCAUGCGAGACUGUGCGCUUAUGCGGUAUUAGCACCUAUUUCUAAGUGUUAUCCCCCAGUAUACGGCAGGUUAUCCACGCGUUACUCACCCGUCCGCCA
This 258-nucleotide ribosomal RNA is filed under the name uncultured bacterium. RNAcentral describes it as "partial 16S ribosomal RNA". The record is from RNAcentral.